AAUCCAUAGGUUAAUGAGGCGAACCGGGGGAACUGAAACAUCUAAGUACCCCGAGGAAAAGAAAUCAACCGAGAUUCCCCCAGUAGCGGCGAGCGAACGGGGAGGAGCCCAGAGCCUGAAUCAGCAUGUGUGUUAGUGGAAGCGUCUGGAAAGGCGCGCGAUACAGGGUGACAGCCCCGUACACAAAAGCGCAUGUGCUGUGAGCUCGAUGAGUAGGGCGGGACACGUGGUAUCCUGUCUGAAUAUGGGGGGACCAUCCUCCAAGGCUAAAUACUCCUGACUGACCGAUAGUGAACCAGUACCGUGAGGGAAAGGCGAAAAGAACCCCGGCGAGGGGAGUGAAAAAGAACCUGAAACCGUGUACGUACAAGCAGUGGGAGCCCCACCACCAAAGCAUUUG
RNAcentral lists this ribosomal RNA (400 nucleotides) under Salmonella enterica. RNAcentral describes it as "partial 23S ribosomal RNA". It matches the Rfam family "Bacterial large subunit ribosomal RNA", at positions 161 to 590 of the family's 2925-position model. RNAcentral also lists the same sequence under 1 other name. The record is from RNAcentral. Lineage: Bacteria; Pseudomonadati; Pseudomonadota; Gammaproteobacteria; Enterobacterales; Enterobacteriaceae.